Molecule: ribosomal RNA, 460 nt
Filed under: uncultured bacterium
Lineage: Bacteria
Description: partial 16S ribosomal RNA
Rfam family: Bacterial small subunit ribosomal RNA
Source: RNAcentral
CCUACGGUGUGCAGCAGUGAGGAAUAUUGGUCAAUGGGCGCGAGCCUGAACCAGCCAAGUAGCGUGAAGGAUGACUGCCCUACGGGUUGUAAACUUCUUUUAUAAAGGCAUAAAGUGAGGCACGUGUGCCUUUUUGUAUGUACUUUAUGAAUAAGGAUCGGCUAACUCCGUGCCAGCAGCCGCGGUAAUACGGAGGAUCCGAGCGUUAUCCGGAUUUAUUGGGUUUAAAGGGAGCGUAGGUGGGUUGUUAAGUCAGUUGUGAAAGUUUGCGGCUCAACCGUAAAAUUGCAAUUGAAACUGGCAGCCUUGAGUACAGUUGAGGUAGGCAGAAUUCGUGGUGUAGCGGUGAAAUGCUUAGAUAUCACGAAGAACCCCGAUUGCGAAGGCAGCCUGCUAAACUGCCACUGACAUUGAUGCUCGAAAGUGUGGGUAUCAAACAGGAUUAGAUACCCUAGUAGUC